ACAGCAGUAGCCACGGUAAUACGAAGGUCCCGAGCGUUGUUCGGAAUCACUGGGCGUAAAGGGAGCGUAGGCGGCGUGGUAAGUCAGAUGUGAAAUCCCGGGGCUCAACCCCGGAACUGCAUCCGAUACUGCCGUGCUAGAGGAUUGGAGAGGUAGCUGGAAUUCUUGGUGUAGCAGUGAAAUGCGUGGAGAUCAAGAGGAGCACUCGUGGCGAAAGCGAGCUACUGGACAAUAUCUGACGCUGAGGCUCGAAGGCCAGGGUAGCGAAAGGGAUUAGAUACCCCUGUAGUCCCUGUCUCUUAUAC
RNAcentral lists this ribosomal RNA (305 nucleotides) under uncultured bacterium. Its description in RNAcentral is "partial 16S ribosomal RNA". It matches the Rfam family "Bacterial small subunit ribosomal RNA", at positions 505 to 807 of the family's 1533-position model. The record is from RNAcentral.